This 734-nucleotide ribosomal RNA is filed under the name uncultured Bacteroidales bacterium. RNAcentral describes it as "bacterial SSU rRNA". It matches the Rfam family "Bacterial small subunit ribosomal RNA", at positions 28 to 750 of the family's 1533-position model. The record is from RNAcentral. Lineage: Bacteria; Pseudomonadati; Bacteroidota; Bacteroidia; Bacteroidales.
GAUGAACGCUAGCUACAGGCUUAACACAUGCAAGUCGAGGGGCAGCAUUUUAGUUUGCUUGCAAACUGAAGAUGGCGACCGGCGCACGGGUGAGUAACACGUAUCCAACCUGCCGAUAACUCCGGAAUAGCCUUUCGAAAGAAAGAUUAAUACCGGAUAGUAUACGAAUAUCGCAUGAUAUUUUUAUUAAAGAAUUUCGGUUAUCGAUGGGGAUGCGUUCCAUUAGUUUGUUGGCGGGGUAACGGCCCACCAAGACUACGAUGGAUAGGGGUUCUGAGAGGAAGGUCCCCCACAUUGGAACUGGGACACGGUCCAAACUCCUACGGGAGGCAGCAGUGAGGAAUAUUGGUCAAUGGGCGAGAGCCUGAACCAGCCAAGUAGCGUGAAGGAUGAAGGCUCUAUGGGUCGUAAACUUCUUUUAUAUGGGAAUAAAGUUUUCCACGUGUGGAAUUUUGUAUGUACCAUAUGAAUAAGGAUCGGCUAACUCCGUGCCAGCAGCCGCGGUAAUACGGAGGAUCCGAGCGUUAUCCGGAUUUAUUGGGUUUAAAGGGAGCGUAGGUGGAUUGUUAAGUCAGUUGUGAAAGUUUGCGGCUCAACCGUAAAAUUGCAGUUGAAACUGGCAGUCUUGAGUACAGUAGAGGUGGGCGGAAUUCGUGGUGUAGCGGUGAAAUGCUUAGAUAUCACGAAGAACUCCGAUUGCGAAGGCAGCUCACUAGACUGUCACUGACACUGAU